Molecule: non-coding RNA, 405 nt
Organism: Pelobates cultripes (western spadefoot toad)
Lineage: Eukaryota; Metazoa; Chordata; Amphibia; Anura; Pelobatidae
Source: the annotation of a GenBank genome assembly
GACUGUGGCAGUGUAGGUGGAAGCAGCGGUGGAGGAGGAGGAUGAGGUAGCCAACACUGUGUUUUUUUUAUAUAUAUAUAUAUUUUAAUUGGGGUAGCCCCCAAAAUAUUGGGACAUAUAAAAAAAAGACAACUCUGUUCCGCAAAGUAGCUGUUGACAUUAUAGUUGUACAGGCACUUUGUUGACUCUAGAGAACCUUGGGCCAAUCGCACAUCCCCGUGGCGGUGACUUUUCAUGCGGAUGUCAUCCAUAUCAACUUUCGAUGCCAGUUUCUGCGCCUACCAUGGUGACCACGGGUAACGGGGAAUCAGGAUUCCAUUCCGUACAGGGAGCCUGAGAAACAGCUACCACAUGCAAGGAAGGCAGCAGGCGCGCAAAUGACCCACUCCCUACGCAGGAAGGUAG